RNAcentral lists this long non-coding RNA (700 nucleotides) under Equus caballus (horse). Its description in RNAcentral is "lncRNA (ENSECAG00000053612.1)". Lineage: Eukaryota; Metazoa; Chordata; Mammalia; Perissodactyla; Equidae. The record is from RNAcentral.
CAGGACAGGACCAUGAGAACUCGGAAUCCUUUGCCCCAACCUCCAUCCGCCAAUUCUGGUGCUCAGGUGAGGGGACGGUCAUCCUAAUUAAAACCACGUGGUGGGGUUUCGGCUGUGGAAAAUUGCUGGAGCCUCUCUCCUUCCUCGCACCUCCUCUCUCCUUAAACACACACAUGCAACUUUCUCUCCCUUUAUUUAAGCAAACAACUGAGAGACCAUGAUCAAGUGCAGCCCCUUCUUAUCUAAAUAGUCCCCAGAUGUAUAAAGACACAGGAGCUUUUUGCUUCUAUUUGGAGCUUGUUCUGGGACCCAUCUUCUCCAAACCUACAAAAAGCAGCCUUCGUCGGCCUUCACUCACAGAACUCCUAAUGCCUGGUGCCCCAGUAAAUCAGCCCUGCUCAGCAGGCUGUCCUCAAUUUAUCAGAGGUGGGAUUUCCCCUCCCCAAACUUCAGUUUUUACCCCUUUUCUUGGCCUCUCCCAUAACCUGAGCUUGAAACUGCACAGAUGUGAACAAAUGGAACAUGAAAAGUUCCAAUUCUGUUGUCAGAUUCUGAUCUUACUUUAGCGGUCGAGGAGAGCAUCUGUAUAAUUCCUUGAAGAGGUGUGGAUGCUACAGAGCUUGAGGGCAAGGCUGCUGUUCUUGGAGCUGCCAGUAUCACUUAGGCACAAGGCUCAAGCAGUCCUGAUCCCUGGGAUCCC